Molecule: ribosomal RNA, 538 nt
Filed under: uncultured bacterium
Lineage: Bacteria
Description: partial 16S ribosomal RNA
Rfam family: Bacterial small subunit ribosomal RNA
Source: RNAcentral
UGGGGAAUUUUGGACAAUGGGCGAAAGCCUGAUCCAGCAAUGCCGCGUGUGUGAAGAAGGCCUUCGGGUUGUAAAGCACUUUUGUCCGGAAAGAAAUCCUUGGCUCUAAUACAGUCGGGGGAUGACGGUACCGGAAGAAUAAGCACCGGCUAACUACGUGCCAGCAGCCGCGGUAAUACGUAGGGUGCAAGCGUUAAUCGGAAUUACUGGGCGUAAAGCGUGCGCAGGCGGUUUGCUAAGACCGAUGUGAAAUCCCCGGGCUCAACCUGGGAACUGCAUUGGUGACUGGCAGGCUAGAGUAUGGCAGAGGGGGGUUAGAAUUCCACGUGUAGCAGUGAAAUGCGUAGAGAUGUGGAGGAAUACCGAUGGCGAAGGCAGCCCCCUGGGCCAAUACUGACGCUCAUGCACGAAAGCGUGGGGAGCAAACAGGAUUAGAUACCCUGGUAGUCCACGCCCUAAACGAUGUCAACUAGUUGUUGGGGACUUCAUUUCCUUGUAACGUAGCUAACGCGUGAAGUUGACCGCCUGGGGAGUACGG